This is a long non-coding RNA of Pygocentrus nattereri (red-bellied piranha), 744 nucleotides long. NCBI's taxonomy places the organism in Eukaryota, Metazoa, Chordata, Actinopteri, Characiformes, Serrasalmidae. The record is from Ensembl.
AUGUCGCUGAGCGGCGAACGGGCUGAAGUUAUGGAGCUGUGGAAGAGUCACGUGCGGGCCGAGCUGUUUCAGAGGGACUGCUUACAGAAAGACCCUUUCUCUGGACUCUUCACUAAAGUGUCCAAAUUAGAGGAACUGCUGAAUCUCCAUUUGAGUUUAUGGGAGGACUUGGAGAGACAAAGCUUCAGUUCAAAUGACGAUGGAAUAAAAAGGCCCGUUGAGGGAAAAAAGACCCCAAAGCUGUAUCUGCAGUUCAGACAGACUGAACAUAUUAGACAAAAGCUUGCACAGAAAGUCUCAGAUCUGACCAGUGAUCUGUACCUCAGGGAGGCGGAGCUGCAGUUCUGUCACUCUCAAGUUGCCCGCUACCGUACCGAAGCCGUUCUGCUGGCCAAAGAAGCAUGCUCACUGAAGGAAGACCUGUCAGAUUAUCAGUAUAAACUGGAGUGUCAGUCAAAGGAGUUGGCAGCAUUGCGAUUGGAGCAGAAGAUGCUGAAGGAGGAGCUAGCAGCCACACAGCAAGAAAAAGAGGGGCUGCUUGAGCGCUGGUUGGAGGAGAAGAAAGAGGAGGCAGAGCGCCUUAAUAAGCACAAUGCCACUCAAGAGAGAUGGAAUCGCUUUGCUGGGCAAAUGAACAAGCAUCUCUUCGGAGGGUCUCAUCGUCAGAGGCGUGUCGCUUCCAACAGCCCACAAGUCUUCCAGAGAUAUUCAACUGAACAGUCACUGCCAAAGAAGAAUAAAUGA